GUGCCAGGCUGGAACGCCACCAGAGGACACAAGAGCGGGCUGCGAAAGCACUUGCUGAGAAACAUGAGCGUGAUCUUCAAGUAAAAAGAGAUCAAGCUGAGCGAAAUAGGAUCGGUGAGACCCUAGAUGUUGAGAUAAAACGUUGGGGUGCAGGGAAGGAGGAAAACUUGC
This is a long non-coding RNA of Eutrema salsugineum, 171 nucleotides long. RefSeq lists it as uncharacterized. The record is from RefSeq and is a predicted model, not a curated record. The transcript is spliced from 3 exons. NCBI's taxonomy places the organism in Eukaryota, Viridiplantae, Streptophyta, Magnoliopsida, Brassicales, Brassicaceae.